AGUGAACGCUGGCGGUAGGCCUAACACAUGCAAGUCGAACGGCAGCACAGAGGAGCUUGCUCCUUGGGUGGCGAGUGGCGGACGGGUGAGGAAUACAUCGGAAUCUACUCUGUCGUGGGGGAUAACGUAGGGAAACUUACGCUAAUACCGCAUACGACCUACGGGUGAAAGCAGGGGACCUUCGGGCCUUGGCCGAUUGAAUGAGCCGAUGUCGGAUUAGCUAGUUGGCGGGGUAAAGGCCCACCAAGGCGACGAUCCGUAGCUGGUCUGAGAGGAUGAUCAGCCACACUGGAACUGAGACACGGUCCAGACUCCUACGGGAGGCAGCAGUGGGGAAUAUUGGACAAUGGGCGCAAGCCUGAUCCAGCCAUACCGCGUGGGUGAAGAAGGCCUUCGGGUUGUAAAGCCCUUUUGUUGGGAAAGAAAUCCAGCUGGCUAAUACCCGGUUGGGAUGACGGUACCCAAAGAAUAAGCACCGGCUAACUUCGUGCCAGCCGCCGCAGUAA
RNAcentral lists this ribosomal RNA (506 nucleotides) under uncultured bacterium. RNAcentral's name for it is "partial 16S ribosomal RNA". It matches the Rfam family "Bacterial small subunit ribosomal RNA", at positions 29 to 523 of the family's 1533-position model. The record is from RNAcentral.